GGAUACGCUACGGCGCGCUUACACCUGCAAGUUGAAACGGUAACAGAAAAAGCUUGCUUUUUGCUGACGAGUGGCGAACGGGUGCGUAACGCGUAUGCAACCUACCUUCUUCUAAGGAAUAGCCCAGAGAAAUUUGGAUUAAUACCUUAUGACAAUAUUUAUUCGCAUGUUUAAAUAUUUAAAACUCCGGUGGAAGAAGAUGGGCAUGCGUAACAUUAGUUUUGUUGGUGAGGUAACGGCUCACCAAGACUACGAUGUUUAGGGGUUCUGAGAGGAUGAUCCCCCACACUGGUACUGAGACACGGACCAGACUCCUACGGGAGUGCAGCAGAUGAGCGAAUAUUGGUCAAUGGACGAAAGUCUCGAACCAGCACAUGCCGCGUGAAGCGAUGACGGCCCUACGGGUUGUAAACUUCUUUCUGUCCUAGGAAGAAACCCCUCUACGUAGUAGAGGGCUGACGGUACUAUUCGAAUAAGCACCGGCUAACUCCGUGCCAGCAGACGCGGUAAUACGGAGGGUGCAGAGCGUUAUCCAGGAAUUAUUGGGUUUAAAGGGUGCGUACGCGGAAAAUUUAAGU
Molecule: ribosomal RNA, 578 nt
Filed under: uncultured Bacteroidota bacterium
Lineage: Bacteria; Pseudomonadati; Bacteroidota
Description: bacterial SSU rRNA
Rfam family: Bacterial small subunit ribosomal RNA
Source: RNAcentral